RNAcentral lists this ribosomal RNA (407 nucleotides) under uncultured bacterium. RNAcentral describes it as "partial 16S ribosomal RNA". It matches the Rfam family "Bacterial small subunit ribosomal RNA", at positions 28 to 526 of the family's 1533-position model. The record is from RNAcentral.
GACGAACGCUGGCGGCGCGCUUAACACAUGCAAGUCGAGCGAAGCGGCGGACGGGUGAGUAACACGUGAGUAACCUGCCUUAGACAUUGGGAUAGCCUCGGGAAACCGGGAUUAAUACCAAAUGGUCGAAGAUGGACUCGCGUCCCAUUAGGUAGUUGGUGAGGUAACGGCCCACCAAGGCGACGAUGGGUAGCCGGCCUAAGUGGGUGAAGGGCGACGGUGGAACUUGGUAACGGUCGAAACUCUGCGGGAGGCAGCAGUGGGGAGUAAUUCACAAGGGAGGGAACUCUGAGGCGGCGACGGCGCGUGAACGAAGAAGGCUUUCGAGUCGUAAAGUUCUUUUAUCUGGGAAGCGGUACCAUAAGAAAAAGCCCCGGCUAACUACGUGCCAGCAGCCGCGGUAAUUC